GGAGUUAGCCGGUGCUUCUUCUGUGAGUGAUGUCCUUCCUGCCGGCUAUUAACCCGCAGGCCUUCUUCCUCACUGAAAGUGCUUUACAACCCGAAGGCCUUCUUCACACACGCGGCAUGGCUGGAUCAGGGUUGCCCCCAUUGUCCAAUAUUCCCCACUGCUGCCUCCCGUAGGAGUCUGGGCCGUGUCUCAGUCCCAGUGUGGCUGAUCAUCCUCUCAGACCAGCUACGGAUCGUCGCCUUGGUGAGCCGUUACCUCACCAACCAGCUAAUCCGACAUAGGCUCAUCCGAUAGCGCGAGGCCCGAAGGUCCCCCGCUUUCCCCCGUAGGGCGUAUGCGGUAUUAGCCUGGGUUUCCCCAGGUUAUCCCCCACUACCGGGCAGAUUCCUAUGCAUUACUCACCCGUCCGCCGCUCGCCACCAGGGAGCAAGCUCCCCGUGCUGCCGCUCGACUUGCAUGUGUUAGGCCUGCCGCCACGCGUCAUCUGAGCCAUAAUACAACUACUGA
This 507-nucleotide ribosomal RNA is filed under the name uncultured bacterium. RNAcentral describes it as "partial 16S ribosomal RNA". The record is from RNAcentral.